Molecule: transfer-messenger RNA, 335 nt
Filed under: pig gut metagenome
Rfam family: transfer-messenger RNA
About the family: Bacterial tmRNA, also known as 10Sa RNA or SsrA, is named for its dual tRNA and mRNA-like properties. Its role is to liberate the mRNA from a stalled ribosome. To accomplish this part of the tmRNA is used as a reading frame that ends in a translation stop signal.
Source: RNAcentral
GUAAUGGUUUCGACGGGGAUUAUGAAGCUGGAGAAGCGAGUCGUAUGCAAUGCGUUAAAUGGCAAACUUAAAAUUAAACGCUAACGAAAAUUUAGCUUACGCUGCCUAAUUUCGGCAGUAGUCUGACCUAGGGCACUCACACCUUAGGAUCCAGGCUUCAUCUAUGUGAGAAACGACACAUACAAAGCUUUGCGUAUGUGGGCGUAUUAUGAAGCUACCAAAGUCGUUCGGUUGUUUGUUCCUGAAUGAUGGAGGGAAGUUUUAAGAAUAAACUACACUCGUAGAAGUACAGGGGAUUGGUUUUCGGACACGGGUUCGACUCCCGUCUAGUCCAC